RNAcentral lists this ribosomal RNA (486 nucleotides) under uncultured bacterium. Its description in RNAcentral is "partial 16S ribosomal RNA". It matches the Rfam family "Bacterial small subunit ribosomal RNA", at positions 30 to 507 of the family's 1533-position model. The record is from RNAcentral.
AUUGAACGCUGGCGGCAUGCCUUACACAUGCAAGUCGAACGGCAGCACGGGUGCUUGCCCCUGGUGGCGAGUGGCGAACGGGUGAGUAAUACAUCGGAACAUGUCAUGUAGUGGGGGAUAGCCCGGCGAAAGCCGGAUUAAUACCGCAUACGAUCUACGGAUGAAAGCGGGGGCCCUUCGGGCCUCGCGCUAUAGGGUUGGCCGAUGGCGGAUUAGCUAGUUGGUGGGGUAAAGGCCUACCAAGGCGACGAUCAGUAGCUGGUCUGAGAGGACGACCAGCCACACUGGGACUGAGACACGGCCCAGACUCCUACGGGAGGCAGCAGUGGGGAAUUUUGGACAAUGGGCGAAAGCCUGAUCCAGCAAUGCCGCGUGUGUGAAGAAGGCCUUCGGGUUGUAAAGCACUUUUGUCCGGAAAGAAAUCCUUGGCCCUAAUACGGUCGGGGGAUGACGGUACCGGAAGAAUAAGCACCGGCUAACUACGUG